RNAcentral lists this ribosomal RNA (758 nucleotides) under uncultured Methanosarcina sp. Its description in RNAcentral is "bacterial SSU rRNA". It matches the Rfam family "Archaeal small subunit ribosomal RNA", at positions 102 to 859 of the family's 1478-position model. Lineage: Archaea; Methanobacteriati; Methanobacteriota; Methanomicrobia; Methanosarcinales; Methanosarcinaceae. The record is from RNAcentral.
GGAUAACUGCCCUUGGGACCGGCAUAACCCCGGGAAACUGGGGAUAAUUCCGGAUAACGCAUAUUUGCUGGAAUGCUUUAUGCGUCAAAAGGAUUCGUCUGCCCAAGGAUGGGUCUGCGGCCUAUCAGGUAGUAGUGGGUGUAAUGUACCUACUAGCCAGCGACGGGUACGGGUUGUGAGAGCAAGAGCCCGGAGAUGGAUUCUGAGACAUGAAUCCAGGCCCUACGGGGCGCAGCAGGCGCGAAAACUUUACAAUGCGGGAAACCGUGAUAAGGGGACACCGAGUGCCAGCAUCAUAUGCUGGCUGUCCGGAUGUGUAAAAUACAUCCGUUAGCAAGGGCCGGGCAAGACCGGUGCCAGCCGCCGCGGUAACACCGGCGGCCCGAGUGGUGAUCGUGAUUAUUGGGUCUAAAGGGUCCGUAGCCGGUUUGGUCAGUCCUCCGGGAAAUCUGAUAGCUCAACUAUUAGGCUUUCGGGGGAUACUGCCAGACUUGGAACCGGGAGAGGUAAGAGGUACUACAGGGGUAGGAGUGAAAUCUUGUAAUCCCUGUGGGACCACCUGUGGCGAAGGCGUCUUACCAGAACGGGUUCGACGGUGAGGGACGAAAGCUGGGGGCACGAACCGGAUUAGAUACCCGGGUAGUCCCAGCCGUAAACGAUGCUCGCUAGGUGUCAGGCAUGGCGCGACCGUGUCUGGUGCCGCAGGGAAGCCGUGAAGCGAGCCACCUGGGAAGUACGGCCGCAAGGCUGAAACUUAA